UAGCGGAGAAAUUCCAAUCGAACUCGGAGAUAGCUGGUUCUCCUCGAAAUAGCUUUAGGGCUAGCCUUGAGAAAAAAGAUAUGUGGGGGUAGAGCACUGAAGGUGCUAGGGGCCUCAACCAGGUUACUGAACACUAUCAAACUACGAAUACCAUAUAGAAAUCUCAGGAGUCAGACUGCGGGAGCUAAGUUCCGUGGUCAAAAGGGAAAGAGCCCAGAUCGUCAAUUAAGGUCCCAAAGAUAUAGCUAAGUGGCAAACGAUGUGAUUUUGCGUAAACAACCAGGAUGUUGGCUUAGAAGCAGCCAUACAUUUAAAGAGUGCGUAAUAGCUCACUGGUCGAGUGAAGUUGCGCGGAAAAUUACCGGGGCUAAGCUAUACACCGAAAUUGCGGAUUUACACUUGAAAGAUAGUGUAAGUGGUAGAGGAGCAUUCUGUAGUAGGGAGAAGCAAAAGCGAGAGCAUUUGUGGACGAGGCAGAAGAGAGAAUGCUGGAAUAAGUAGCGAGAGCAAGGUGAGAAUCCUUGCCGUCGAAAGUCUAAGGUUUCCUGGGGAAGGUUCGUCCGCCCAGGGUAAGUCGGGACCUAAGGUGAGGCUGAAAAGCGUAGCCGAUGGACAGCAGGUAUAAAAUUCCUGCACUACCGAAUACUUAAAAGAUUCAAAUGACACAGUAGAGGAAGGGAAUCCAGGAAGAGGAAAAACUGGAGCCGAAAGGCAUAGUGAAAAUAUAAAGUAAUGAAGUCCCAAGAAUCACACUGGCGAGAAAAGUUUGAAGAUAUUGUAUAAGGUACCCGUACCGCAAACCGACACAGGUAGAUGAGGAGAGGAUCCUAAGACGAGCGAGAGAAGUAUUGUUAAGGAACUCGGCAAACUAACCCCGUAACUUAGGGAGAAGGGGUACCAUAGUAACAUAUGGUCGCAGAGAAGAGUCCCAAGCAACUGUUUAACAAAAACACAGGUUUCUGCUAAAUCGAAAGAUGAAGUAUAGGAGCUGACGCCUGCCCAGUGCUGGAAGGUUAAGGGAAAGAGUUAGGUGUAAACCGAAGCUUAGAACUAAAGCCCCAGUGAACGGCGGCCGUAACUAUAACGGUCCUAAGGUAGCGAAAUUCCUUGUCAGGUAAGUUCUGACCCGCACGAAAGGCGUAAUGAUUUGGGAGCUGUCUCGACAAUAUACUCGGCGAAAUUGUAGUACUAGUGAAGAUGCUAGUUACCUGCGACAAGACAGAAAGACCCCAUGGAGCUUUACUGUAGCUUGAUAUUGGGUUUCGGUAAUUUAUGUACAGGAUAGGUGGGAGACUGAGAAGUUCUGGCGUCAGCUAGAAUGGAGUCACCCUUGGGAUACCACCCUUAAGUUAUUGAAAUUCUAACCUGUGAUCAUAAACUGGUCAGGGGACAAUGUCAGGCGGGCAGUUUGACUGGGGCGGUCGCCUCCUAAAGAGUAACGGAGGCGCCCAAAGGUUCCCUCAGCACGGACAGAAAUCGUGCGAAAGAGUGCAAAGGCAGAAGGGAGCUUAACUGAAAGACAGACAUGUCGAGCAGAUACGAAAGUAGGGCUUAGUGAUCCGGCGGUAGUGAGUGGAAAUGCCGUCGCUCAACGGACAAAAGUUACCCUGGGGAUAACAGGCUUAUCUCCCCCAAGAGUUCACAUCGACGGGGAGGUUUGGCACCUCGAUGUCGGCUCAUCGCAUCCUGGAGCGGAAGUACGUUCCAAGGGUUGGGCUGUUCGCCCAUUAAAGCGGUACGCGAGCUGGGUUCAGAA
RNAcentral lists this ribosomal RNA (1756 nucleotides) under human gut metagenome. Its description in RNAcentral is "bacterial LSU rRNA". It matches the Rfam family "Bacterial large subunit ribosomal RNA", at positions 816 to 2616 of the family's 2925-position model. The record is from RNAcentral.